RNAcentral lists this ribosomal RNA (120 nucleotides) under Helianthus annuus (common sunflower). The record is from RNAcentral. Lineage: Eukaryota; Viridiplantae; Streptophyta; Magnoliopsida; Asterales; Asteraceae.
GGUUGCGUUCAUACCAGCACUAAUGCACCGGAUCCCAUCAGAACUCCGUAGUUAAGCGUGCUUUGGCGAGAGUAGUACUAGGAUGGGUGACCUCCUGGGAAGUCCUCGUGUUGCAACCCC